Molecule: ribosomal RNA, 207 nt
Filed under: uncultured bacterium
Lineage: Bacteria
Description: partial 16S ribosomal RNA
Rfam family: Bacterial small subunit ribosomal RNA
Source: RNAcentral
AGCGUAGGCGGACUUUUAAGUGAGAUAUGAAAUACCCGGGCUCAACUUGGGUGCUGCAUUUCAAACUGGAAGUCUAGAGUGCAGGAGAGGAGAAUGGAAUUCCUAGUGUAGCGGUGAAAUGCGUAGAGAUUAGGAAGAACACCAGUGGCGAAGGCGAUUCUCUGGACUGUAACUGACGCUGAGGCUCGAAAGCGUGGGAGGCAAACA